AACUACGCACUGGCCGCUUAAGGCCUAAGCCCCGAAAUCGCUUGUGUCCGUGCUCGCGACGUAGGGUCAUUAUCACGGAAUCGCCGGGAGUGGCUGCCUGCCAGCACCCGGUUAACCCAUAGCAGGCUGGUCCCCGGAUGCGCUUUGCGCGCCGUGCUGUUCGGAGACGAGAUCCAACGGAGCGCUAAGCAUGUAGUGCCGGGGAUGGAGUGCCUUCGGACGGGGGUUCAAUUCCCCCCACCUCCACCA
RNAcentral lists this transfer-messenger RNA (249 nucleotides) under Pseudomonadota bacterium. RNAcentral's name for it is "partial transfer-messenger RNA". It matches the Rfam family "transfer-messenger RNA", at positions 105 to 374 of the family's 374-position model. Rfam says of the family: Bacterial tmRNA, also known as 10Sa RNA or SsrA, is named for its dual tRNA and mRNA-like properties. Its role is to liberate the mRNA from a stalled ribosome. The record is from RNAcentral. Lineage: Bacteria; Pseudomonadati; Pseudomonadota.